RNAcentral lists this long non-coding RNA (249 nucleotides) under Hordeum vulgare. RNAcentral's name for it is "long non-coding RNA (HVUL_LNC012875)". Lineage: Eukaryota; Viridiplantae; Streptophyta; Magnoliopsida; Poales; Poaceae. The record is from RNAcentral.
AAGAUGCUAAGCCCGCUCUCUUUGCCGCCGUCUACUCUAGUAGGGCCUCCUGUCGAUGCCCACUCCUUCAUGACAACUCUUCAUCGUCACCGCUCUCUUCAUUGGCACACAAUGACUCCCACACACACAUGGCCUAGCCAAUCACCCCUCGACAACCUCCACAAUGGUGCCAUUCCACACCGAAUCCAGCCGCUUCCUUUGGCCACCUUGACGGUCCGUUAUUCGACUACAUCAACCAUCCCAUUGCAC